RNAcentral lists this ribosomal RNA (521 nucleotides) under uncultured bacterium. RNAcentral's name for it is "bacterial SSU rRNA". It matches the Rfam family "Bacterial small subunit ribosomal RNA", at positions 777 to 1297 of the family's 1533-position model. The record is from RNAcentral.
AAUAGAUACCCCGGUAGUCCACGCCGUAAACGGUGGGCACUAGAUGUGGGGCUCUUUCCAUGAGUUCCGCGUCGCAGCUAACGCAUUAAGUGCCCCGCCUGGGGAGUACGGCCGCAAGGCUAAAACUCAAAGGAAUUGACGGGGGGCCCGCACAAGCGGCGGAGCAUGCGGAUUAAUUCGAUGCAACGCGAAGAACCUUACCAAGGCUUGACAUAUACGGUCUAUCCCUAGAGAUAGGGAGUGCCUCGGCGCCGUAUACAGGUGGUGCAUGGUUGUCGUCAGCUCGUGUCGUGAGAUGUUGGGUUAAGUCCCGCAACGAGCGCAACCCUCGUUCUAUGUUGCCAGCACGUAAUGGUGGGGUACUCAUAGGAGACUGCCGGGGUUCAACUCGGAGGAAGGUGGGGAUGACGUCAAAUCAUCAUGCCCCUUAUGUCUUGGGCUUCACGCAUGCUACAAUGGCCGGUACAAAGGGCUGCAUACCGUAAGGUGGAGCGAAUCCAAAACGCCGGUCUCAGUUCGGA